AUGAAAUUAAAAUUAUUAAAUAUAAUUUUAUCAAUAAUAAAUAAACUUAAUAAUAAUAAUAAUAUUAUUAUUAAUAAUCUAUUAGAUUCAUUAAUAAAUAAGAAAUUAUUAUUAAAGAAUAUAUUAUUAGAUAUAAAUAAUAAAAAAAUAAAUAAUAUAAAAAGAAUAUUAAAUAAUAAUAAUAUAAAUAUUAAUAAUAAAUUACAACAUUUAAAUAAUAUAAAUAAUUGAAAUCUACAAAUUUAUAAUUAUAAUAAAAAUAUAGAAAUUAUAAAUACUAUAAAUGAUAAAUUAAUUAAUAAAUUAUUAUAUAAAAUAAUAACUUUAAAAUUAAAUAAUAUAAAUAUUAAUAAAAUUAUUAUAAGUAAACUUAUUAAUCAACAUAGUUUAAAUAAAUUAAAUAUUAAAUUUUAUUAUUAUAAUAAUGAUAUUAAUAAUAAUAAUAAUAAUAAUAAUAAUAAUUAUUAUAUAAAUAUAAUAAAUAAAUUAAUAAAUAUUAUAAAUAAUAAUAUAAAUAAUAAUUUAUGUAAUAUUUUAAGUUAUUAUUAUAAUAAAAAAGUAACUAUUGAACCUAUUAAAUUAUCAUAUAUUUAUUUAAAUAGUGAUAUUUUUAGUAAAUAUAUUAGUUUAAAUGAUAUAGAUAAAUAUAAUAAUGGUAUCUUAACUAAUUAUCAACGUAUAUUAAAUAAUAUUAUGCCUAAAUUAAAUGAUCAUAAUAUUUCUAUAAAUUAUAUUAAUAAUAUUAAUAAUAUUAAUAAUAAUAAAUAUAAUAAUAUAAUUAAUUUAUUAAAUAAUAAUAAUAAUAAUAAUAAUAUUAAUAAUAAUAAUUAUAAUAAUAAUAAUAAUAAUUAUAUUGGUAAUAUUAAUAAUAUUUAUAAUAAUAUAACUAUUGAUAAUAUUCCUAUAGAUAUUUUAAUAUAUAAAUAUUUAGUUGGUUGAUCUAUUAAAUUUAAAGGUAGAUUAAGUAAUAAUAAUGGUAGAACUAGUACACUUAAUUUAUUAAAUGGUACUUUUAAUAAUAAAAAAUAUUUAUGAAGUAAUAUUAAUAAUAAUUAUAAAUUAAAUUAUAUCCCUUCUAAUCAUAAUUUAUAUAAUAAUUCUAAUAUUAAUAAAAAUGGUAAAUAUAAUAUUAAAGUUAAAUUAAACUUUAUUUAA
This 1155-nucleotide ribosomal RNA is filed under the name Saccharomyces cerevisiae (brewer's yeast). The record is from RNAcentral. Lineage: Eukaryota; Fungi; Ascomycota; Saccharomycetes; Saccharomycetales; Saccharomycetaceae.